RNAcentral lists this ribosomal RNA (469 nucleotides) under uncultured bacterium. Its description in RNAcentral is "partial 16S ribosomal RNA". It matches the Rfam family "Bacterial small subunit ribosomal RNA", at positions 28 to 507 of the family's 1533-position model. The record is from RNAcentral.
GACGAACGCUGGCGGCGUGCUUAACACAUGCAAGUCGAACGGAAAGGCCCUGCUUGCAGGGUGCUCGAGUGGCGAACGGGUGAGUAACACGUGGGUGAUCUGCCCCUUACUUUGGGAUAAGCCUGGGAAACUGGGUCUAAUACUGGAUAGGACCACGCUGUAGGUGGUGUGGUGGAAAGAUUAGUUUCGGUAAGGGAUGAGCUCGCGGCCUAUCAGCUUGUUGGUGGGGUAAUGGCCUACCAAGGCGUCGACGGGUAGCCGGCCUGAGAGGGUGGACGGCCACAUUGGGACUGAGAUACGGCCCAGACUCCUACGGGAGGCAGCAGUGGGGAAUAUUGCACAAUGGGCGCAAGCCUGAUGCAGCGACGCCGCGUGGGGGAUGACGGCCUUCGGGUUGUAAACUCCUUUCAGCCAUGACGAAGCCCUUGUGGUGACGGUAGUGGUAGAAGAAGCACCGGCUAACUACGUG